AGUCUGACCUGCCCUAUGAUAUUUAUUAAAUGGCCGCGAUAUUUUGAUCGUGCAAAGGUAGCAUAAUAAUUAGUUUUUUAAUUGGGAACUGGAAUGAAAGGUCGAACGAGAAUAAAACUGUCUCGAUUUAAAUUUAAUUAGAAUUUUAUUUUUAAGUAAAAAAGCUUAAAUAAUUUUAAAAGACGAGAAGACCCUAUAGAGUUUUAUAUAUAAGUUAAAUUUUUUAGUUUAAGAAUUUUAUUAUUAAAUUAUGUUUUAUAUAUUUAGUUGGGGUGAUUGAAAAAUUUAAUUAACUUUUUUUAUAAUAAUACAUUGAUAUAUGAAUUUAUGAUCCAUUUUUUAUGAUUAAAAGAUUAAAUUACCUUAGGGAUAACAGCGUAAUUUUUUUUGAGAGUUCUAAUCGAAAAAAAAGUUUGCGACCUCGAUGUUGGAUUAAAAUAAAUUUUUGGUGUAGAAGCUAGAAAAUUAGGUCUGUUCGACCUUUAAAAUUUUACAUGAUCUGAGUUUAAACCGGUGUAAGCCAGGUUGGUUUCUAUCUUUAA
This 542-nucleotide ribosomal RNA is filed under the name Onthophagus raffayi. Its description in RNAcentral is "partial 16S ribosomal RNA". It matches the Rfam family "Bacterial large subunit ribosomal RNA", at positions 1851 to 2647 of the family's 2925-position model. The record is from RNAcentral. Lineage: Eukaryota; Metazoa; Arthropoda; Insecta; Coleoptera; Scarabaeidae.